CCUACGGGAGGCAGCAGUAGGGAAUAUUGCUCAAUGGGGGAAACCCUGAAGCAGCAACGUCGCGUGGAGGAUGACGGUCUUCUGAUUGUAAACUCCUUUUGUUAGAGAAGAUAAUGACGGUAUCUAACGACUAUGCACCGGCCAACUCCGUGCCAGCCGCCGCGGUACUACGGAGGGUGCAAGCGUUACCCGGAAUCACUGGGCGUAACGGGCGCGUAGGCGGGAUAGCAAGUCAGAUGUGAAAUCCUAUGGCUUAACCAUAGAACUGCAUUUGAAACUGUUAUUCUAGAGUAUGGGAGAGGUAGGUGGAAUUCUUGGUGUAGGGGUAAAAUCCGUAGAGAUCAAGAAGAAUACUCAUUGCGAAGGCGACCUGCUAGAACAUAACUGACGCUGAGGCGCGAAAGCGUGGGGAGCAAACAGGAUUAGAUACCCUUGUAGUC
This 440-nucleotide ribosomal RNA is filed under the name uncultured bacterium. RNAcentral describes it as "partial 16S ribosomal RNA". It matches the Rfam family "Bacterial small subunit ribosomal RNA", at positions 338 to 795 of the family's 1533-position model. The record is from RNAcentral.